RNAcentral lists this long non-coding RNA (668 nucleotides) under Marmota monax (woodchuck). The record is from RNAcentral. Lineage: Eukaryota; Metazoa; Chordata; Mammalia; Rodentia; Sciuridae.
GCAGCAGGGUGGGCACUGCGGGGGAGCUGUCGCCUACAUCUGGCACCUCCAUACAGCUGAGGCCAAGCAAGAAGACACUUGCUCCCCCUCCCUCUCCUUCCCCCUCCCCUCCCCUUCCUCCACUCAUCCUAGGAUACUCUUCUGCUGGAAGCUUAGACAAAUAUUUAAAGGGGCAGUUGGGGGUGGGAGGAGCAUGGUAGGAACAAACAUUUCCUUCCCUCUCUUCUUCCCCUAGCGGCUCAGGGGCUCUCAGCUCACAUGCCAUGCUGUUGGACAACCUUGAAGCUGAGGUCCUCCAGCUGGAGAGGGAUUCCUUUGGGGACAGGGGAGCCUGCCAGGGCUGAAGAGUAGGGGGCCAACUCCUGGUCAAGGAGCAGGGACAAGGUGUGAGGGAGCCUGGAACCUGGGUGACAUUUUAGAGUUAAAGUGCAGCUGGUUCUCUGUAUCCAUGGGUUUCACAUUUGCCAAUUCAACCAAAAGUAGAUGGAAAGUAUUUGUGGGAGAAAAACACUGUCCGGGCUGAACAUGUACGGAUUUUUUUCCUUGUUAUUAUUCCCUAAGCAAUCCAGUAUAACAACUAUUUGCAUAUCAUUUACAUUGUAUUAGGUAUUAUAAGUCAUCUAGAAAUGAUUUAAAGUAUAUGGGAGGCUGACUGUAAUCCCAGUGGC